GCCAGAAGGCCAAUAGAAUGAAAGGGCAGGGAGGGAAGGACCAAAGAGAUGGUUGCAGAAACCUACAGUGUGUCACAUUUGUAAAAUGGUUUCACAGCUUCUAAAGUCAUUUCAGACGAUUUAUCUCUGUGGAUCCCCACAAGGUCACUAUGGAGGAGGAACGGCGGUUCUAGUUUUCUUCACUUCACAGAUGGGGAAACUGAGGCUUGGUGAGGUCUGGAGAUUUAUCCAGGGUCCAAUAGCUUAGUCAGGACCUAAUCUAGGAUUUCAAGCCAGUCUGCUGACCCCGGGUUGCAGUGAUCCUAGGACCACACGGCACAACCUCUGAAGUUGACUUUUUAAAUAUUGAGUCCCCUUAUACAUCUAACCUGUAUCCUGUAAAUAUAGUAAACAGCAGCUUUUAAAGCUGGUCACCAAGUGUGGGGACCCAAGGACCUGGGAGCCCACUUUCUGGUUCACUCGCUGGCUUCUCACCUGCCAAGUUAUCAAACAUGCUCAAAAUGUGAUUAGUUUUACUAAUCCUUUUGCUAAAUUGUGUCAUGGUAUCCAUAUGCCAGUGAGCACCCCAUGCCCAAAUCAGCCCCGGGAGAUUAUUCAAAUGGCUGCAGAGAGCUCCCGCCUGCUCCUCCUGCAGCCAUGUUGAACUAUUCAAAAUGAUAAUCGGGCAUGUGGCAGUAACUCAGACGGGACAGCUCUAUCAUUCACUAGAGGGCUGGGCGCAGCCUCCAGGGUCCUUAUGUCUUUUGCUAGAGCCAGCGCCUCUCCCAGCGCUCUCUCUCAUCCUCCGCACAAUUUAUUUCUUCAGAGCGCCCUUCAUACACACCAGCACCGCUCACUUCACCCAGAGCGUCAAUCACCAGAUGCCAAGAGAAGGGGACCUGUCCUUGGGGGAGAUUUAAAGAGAGACCUGAAUCAAGGUUGGGGGUUGUGAGAGUAGCACGGGAUGGUGGAGAAGAUUGGGUUGGACUGGUCAGGACCCUGGUAGGCACAGGCAAAGGAAGGAGGGCAGGGUUGGGCAUGGGAAAGAGAAAACAGAGAGCUGGCUAUCAUGGUCCCUCUCCACUGCACCAAGCAGUGACCUGCUCUUGGCCUUGAAUUUCUAGAAACUUUAACUCAAGUCCUGCUGCUCAGGAGUAGGGACAGCUUCAGGCCACUUCCAGGAUUCCAAGUGCAUAGAAUUCUGAGAUGGCUCCUAAGAAGAAUAAUCAAAACUGACCAAUGUUGGUAAUGAAGGGACUCAAUUAAAAAUAUCCCCUUCCCCCACUUAAAAUCAGAACUGAGAGAGAGAGGCCCUGAAGUCUGACAGAUAAGAAGACACAGAACAAUGCGAUUAUCACCAGUGAAAGUGAGGCAGCGACUACAACUCAAAUAGGUGGGGUCAGCCCACUUUAUUUCCCUCCACCCUCGAUGGGAUUAUCCACCAGCCCCAGGCAGCUCUGGGUAUGGAGCUUGCUCCUGUAAACACAUGGAACAGAGGCACAGAGAAUAGCUGCUUCCUGCAGGUAGGCUGGGUUGAGAGAGGUGAGAUGGGGGAACAGAUCUGAGAUAGGGAUUUAGGAUAAGGAGAGAAAAAUAGACUACCUUCAGGGAGACAUCUUUAAGCCACUGAAAUGCAGAAUCAAGCCACUGAGAUACUGAAAACACAGUGGCAAACCUUAGCCCAUGCCCUUGGCCCACGCCCUUGACCCAUGUCCUUAACCCAUGCUCUUGUAAAAUAAGGGAAAUGCACAAGCUGGGAAAACCUAGGCAAAAUUAUACAGCUCCACCCUGGAUCCACCUUCAGUCCAGCUCCUGACACAGCCCUUAUAUAAAUAUUGGACCCCAGCCCAAGUCGGGGCUGCUUCUCACUCUCGAGACAGCCUGCCUUCUCCCUUGAAUGUGCAUCUACCUUCCUAAAUAGACCUGUCUGGCUUGCACUGAAAUUUUUUUCUGCCAUAUAUGCCACAAAUCCUGCUGGUCUGAGUUGAGUUCCCCCUCUCUUCUGGAAUUCUUCUUAUUAAAUUUUUUUUAUACUUUUAUUUUGCUUUGUAUUGUUUUAAUUGGUUACACAUGACAGUACAAUGAUCUGGGAUUCUUCAAACCCUUCUCUGAGGACAUCUCUCCUCCCAUAACAGAGCCACACAGGCUCUCCUCCUCUCACUCUGGUCAAUCAGAACUCACCGCUCAGAGAAGUCCCAGUGACUUGGAGGGCUCCCUAUUAGGAUCUGCAAACAUCUUCUUCUCCAUAACCUAACCGAUGCAUAGUCCUGUAUAGACUAUAAAACACUGCAGUAGCUUAGAAGAAGCAUCUUUUUAUAAGUCUUCUAAAUGACUCAAAUCAUGAUUUUCAUACCCACUUUACCAAUAAAAAAAAGUGAGAAUUCAAAUGAUGGUUGACAUGACCCCCAUUGGGCAGUAAGUACAUGGCAGAGUUGGAAGCCCA
This 2422-nucleotide long non-coding RNA is filed under the name Marmota monax (woodchuck). The record is from RNAcentral. Lineage: Eukaryota; Metazoa; Chordata; Mammalia; Rodentia; Sciuridae.